RNAcentral lists this ribosomal RNA (686 nucleotides) under uncultured Comamonadaceae bacterium. RNAcentral's name for it is "bacterial SSU rRNA". It matches the Rfam family "Bacterial small subunit ribosomal RNA", at positions 97 to 779 of the family's 1533-position model. The record is from RNAcentral. Lineage: Bacteria; Pseudomonadati; Pseudomonadota; Betaproteobacteria; Burkholderiales; Comamonadaceae.
GGCGAACGGGUGAGUAAUACAUCGGAACGUGCCCAGUCGUGGGGGAUAACGUAGCGAAAGUUACGCUAAUACCGCAUACGAUCUACGGAUGAAAGCGGGGGAUCGCAAGACCUCGCGCGAUUGGAGCGGCCGAUGUCAGAUUAGGUUGUUGGUGAGGUAAAGGCUCACCAAGCCGACGAUCUGUAGCUGGUCUGAGAGGACGACCAGCCACACUGGGACUGAGACACGGCCCAGACUCCUACGGGAGGCAGCAGUGGGGAAUUUUGGACAAUGGACGAAAGUCUGAUCCAGCCAUUCCGCGUGCAGGACGAAGGCCUUCGGGUUGUAAACUGCUUUUGUACGGAACGAAAAAGCCUUGGCUAAUACCCAGGGUCCAUGACGGUACCGUAAGAAUAAGCACCGGCUAACUACGUGCCAGCAGCCGCGGUAAUACGUAGGGUGCGAGCGUUAAUCGGAAUUACUGGGCGUAAAGCGUGCGCAGGCGGUUUUGUAAGACAGAGGUGAAAUCCCCGGGCUCAACCUGGGAACUGCCUUUGUGACUGCAAGGCUAGAGUGCGGCAGAGGGGGAUGGAAUUCCGCGUGUAGCAGUGAAAUGCGUAGAUAUGCGGAGGAACACCGAUGGCGAAGGCAAUCCCCUGGGCCUGCACUGACGCUCAUGCACGAAAGCGUGGGGAGCAAACAGGAUU